CCUACGGGGGGCUGCAGUGGGGAAUAUUGGACAAUGGGCGAAAGCCUGAUCCAGCCAUGCCGCGUGUGUGAAGAAGGCCUUCGGGUUGUAAAGCACUUUCAGUGGGGAAGAAAGCCUUGGGGCUAAUACCCUCGAGGAAGGACAUCACCCACAGAAGAAGCACCGGCUAACUCCGUGCCAGUAGCCGCGGUAAUACGGAGGGUGCGAGCGUUAAUCGGAAUUACUGGGCGUAAAGCGCGCGUAGGCGGUCUGAUAAGCCGGUUGUGAAAGCCCCGGGCUCAACCUGGGAACGGCAUCCGGAACUGUCAGGCUAGAGUGCAGGAGAGGAAGGUAGAAUUCCCGGUGUAGCGGUGAAAUGCGUAGAGAUCGGGAGGAAUACCAGUGGCGAAGGCGGCCUUCUGGACUGACACUGACGCUGAGGUGCGAAAGCGUGGGUAGCAAACAGGAUUAGAUACCCGGGUAGUC
This 465-nucleotide ribosomal RNA is filed under the name Vreelandella stevensii. Its description in RNAcentral is "partial 16S ribosomal RNA". It matches the Rfam family "Bacterial small subunit ribosomal RNA", at positions 338 to 795 of the family's 1533-position model. The record is from RNAcentral. Lineage: Bacteria; Pseudomonadati; Pseudomonadota; Gammaproteobacteria; Oceanospirillales; Halomonadaceae.